UCUCACACAGAUUUAACUCACACAGAUUUUAUAAAGCCACGGAUAUCUGUGUGCAUUGGCAAUAUAUACAGAAAACCGUGUGAAAUAAGUAAAAUUGGGCCCACAAGAGUUUAUGGAAUAAUAAUAGCCACAGAUGUCUGUGUGAAAAAUAUCACAUACAGACAUCCGUGUGAAAAAUAAAAUAUUUUAUUACCUACUCACACGGUUGUCCGUGUGAAGCCUAGUUCACACACAUUUCUGUAUAUAUUAAAUAUAAGUUUAUUAAAAAAUCAUUGUUUUUUUGUGCUAUAUGAAUUGUAGAGAGACGGUUUUUCGUUGCUAAAAUAGUUUAACACAGAUAUCUGUAUGAAAUGAGCAUCACACAGAUAUCUGUGUGAGAUGAAGAUACGGAUGUCCGUGUGAGAAAACAAUAUGCAUACAGAUAUCUGUAAAAAUUACAUAUGUUUUUCACACGAAUUCUGUUGCAAUUUUACCCAUUAAACCAUUUGUAACCUAACCUAAACUCCAUUUUCUCCAUCAUCAUUAUCGCCCCUCUUUCUCUGUCACUAUUGCCUCUCUCUCUCUCUCUCUCCCCCUCCCUCCUUCCUCCUCGUCACUCUGCCGCCUCAUCCAACCUCCUUCCUCUAAUCACCUUCUUCCUCCCUCAGAAAAGCUUAGCCUUCCCCCAACCCCAUAUCUCCAUUCUCAACAGAUGCAAUUACGGUUUAAUUGAAAAAACAAGAGAUCGACAAAAGCAAUUUGAAGCGGUUGGGGUCAUCAGUAGCAGAGCUCACCCUGUCCUUGACCUCUACCCGAGCUCAGGGAUCCAUGGACAGAUCGAUCCUAUUUCAUUUUCUCUUUCCCUCUCUCUCAUUCUUUAUGUCUCAAUCUCCAAUUAAUUCCUCUCGAAAUUAAUGGGUACUGGAAACUAUGUGAUAUUGAUGUGGCUUGUUUAGAGAUGAACAUGAUAAGGGUAGGAGGAUGUAGACCUGAUUUUGUUACUUUCAAUACAUUGUUUAAUGGGUUUUGUAAGGUUGAGGUGAGGAGAGAAGUGUUUGCGUAUAUGGGUUUGAUGUGUCGCCGAAUUUUUUGGCUCUUACUUCUUUGAUUGAUGGGUAUUUGUAAGGUUGGUAAUUUGAAGAUUGCAAUUAGAUUGCUUGGAUAACCUUUUUACCUUACUUGAUUUUCAGAUUCCUGCAAGAGGAAAACCAAUUGGUCCAGGACCACCACCAUAACUCCCUCAACCCCGGCGAACGCACAGAGAGAGCGAACUUCUUCUUUAUUGUAGAAAUUAAAAUUGGUUGUUAAUGCUUAGUUCUUUUCUGUUUCCAGUAGUUGAAUGACUUAAAAAUAGAUGGUAAAUCGAAUGGCUUUUAUAUAUAUAUAUAUUCAUGCAUAAUUUCUUAUAUGUGUAGAUACCCGACGCUUGUAUUCAAGUUUGGGUAGCAAGAUAAAUUGAGUAGUGCAACAUAGAAUAAUAUUUGGGUUGUGGGUUAUUGUUAAUUUUCAGUUUAGGUUGUUUCAGUGAGUGGUUAUUUUAAGAAAUUCUGGGUUGUGGGUUUUGUUUCACCAGGCUGAGAUUGAAGAAGGUUUCACAAAGAAAUUCUGGGUUCUGGGUUCUAUUUGUAUUUUUUAUUUCUGUUUUUGAACCUAUAAAUGUGUAGGUUUUGCUUCUAAAAGGGUUGGUUUUGAUUAUAAAUGGUUUUGAACCUCAGAUUAUCUAAUUGCUUUCUUUCUUUCUGUCUUUUGUAUGAAUUUGAUUGAUCAAUCAAUUUCUAUUCUUAUUCUCUUCUUUUUGACUUGUUGGUGAAGUGUAGAUUCACUAUAUGCAGAUGGAAUAAUUGGCUAAACACUGAGUUGUAAUCAAUGGGCAAUUGGGGCUGGCUUUGCCAAUUGGUACUUGGUUGGAUGGAGUAUGGGAUAAAUCCAACAGAUUGGAACUGUCAACGGCAACUAUGGAAGGGUAGAACUGGAGCUGAUCAAGGGUUUAGAACUUCAUCUUGUUGCCAAUGUAAUCUUUUUGUAUACAGUUAGUUUAUGAUGUAACUUGAAGUCAUUUGAAAUGAUAUAUUUUUUUUCUAGUUAGUUCUGGGUACCAAUAUCAA
Molecule: long non-coding RNA, 2084 nt
Organism: Rosa chinensis
Lineage: Eukaryota; Viridiplantae; Streptophyta; Magnoliopsida; Rosales; Rosaceae
Exons: 2
Source: RefSeq, a predicted model, not a curated record